Non-coding RNA from Cinara cedri, 395 nucleotides. The record is from the annotation of a GenBank genome assembly. NCBI's taxonomy places the organism in Eukaryota, Metazoa, Arthropoda, Insecta, Hemiptera, Aphididae.
AAAGUAAUGUAGGUUAUUUGUUGAAGCAAUUUACGAUUAUUGAAUUAUAAAAUAAUAAUAUAUUCAAUGUCCAUAAUAAAAGGCUCGAGCAAUAUUCGCAUAAAUAAAUUUAACCGCAAAUUUACCCGAAGUCCCUGCGGUUGGCACGCAAGCUCAAAUAAUAAUAGGUACCAACGUUAUCUAGCCAUUUGCGUACAGAAUUAAAUAUAAUUCUGGCAAGCUAUCCUUACGUGCCAUAAUAUUAUUGUCGAUAAUUACAAUCGAUUGCAUUUUGUCGUUGGAUAUACCUUCACAAUAAUUUAUGAAAUAGACAUUUCGGAACGUUCUUGGCCGAAAAUCGUUUGUAUAAACCGCAUAAACGUUCAAAUUGCCUACCAUCAACCCCUUAGAUUGAU